Molecule: non-coding RNA, 70 nt
Organism: Podarcis lilfordi (Lilford's wall lizard)
Lineage: Eukaryota; Metazoa; Chordata; Lepidosauria; Squamata; Lacertidae
Source: the annotation of a GenBank genome assembly
GGACAUAGCUCAGUGCUAGAGCAUCUGUUUUGCAUACAGAAGGUCCGAGGUUCAAUCCCUGACAUCUCCA